CCCGUACCGCAAACCGACACAGGUAGUCAAGAUGAGAAUUCUAAGGUGAGCGAGCGAACUCUCGUUAAGGAACUCGGCAAAAUGACCCCGUAACUUCGGGAGAAGGGGUGCUCUUUAGGGUUAACGCCCAGAAGAGCCGCAGUGAAUAGGCCCAAGCGACUGUUUAUCAAAAACACAGGUCUCUGCUAAACCGUAAGGUGAUGUAUAGGGGCUGACGCCUGCCCGGUGCUGGAAGGUUAAGAGGAGUGGUUAGCUUCUGCGAAGCUACGAAUCGAAGCCCCAGUAAACGGCGGCCGUAACUAUAACGGUCCUAAGGUAGCGAAAUUCCUUGUCGGGUAAGUUCCGACCCGCACGAAAGGCGUAACGAUUUGGGCACUGUCUCAACGAGAGACUCGGUGAAAUCAUAGUACCUGUGAAGAUGCAGGUUACCCGCGACAGGACGGAAAGACCCCGUGGAGCUUUACUGUAGCCUGAUAUUGAAAUUCGGCACAGCUUGUACAGGAUAGGUAGGAGCCUUUGAAACGUGAGCGCUAGCUUACGUGGAGGCGCUGGUGGGAUACUACCCUAGCUGUGUUGGCUUUCUAACCCGCACCACUUAUCGUGGUGGGAGACAGUGUCAGGCGGGCAGUUUGACUGGGGCGGUCGCCUCCUAAAAGGUAACGGAGGCGCUCAAAGGUUCCCUCAGAAUGGUUGGAAAUCAUUCAUAGAGUGUAAAGGCAUAAGGGAGCUUGACUGCGAGACCUACAAGUCGAGCAGGGUCGAAAGACGGACUUAGUGAUCCGGUGGUUCCGCAUGGAAGGGCCAUCGCUCAACGGAUAAAAGCUACCCCGGGGAUAACAGGCUUAUCUCCCCCAAGAGUUCACAUCGACGGGGAGGUUUGGCACCUCGAUGUCGGCUCAUCGCAUCCUGGGGCUGUAGUCGGUCCCAAGGGUUGGGCUGUUCGCCCAUUAAAGCGGUACGCGAGCUGGGUUCAGAACGUCGUGAGACAGUUCGGUCCCUAUCCGUCGUGGGCGUAGGAAAUUUGAGAGGAGCUGUCCUUAGUACGAGAGGACCGGGAUGGACAUACCUCUGGUGUACCAGUUGUCGUGCCAACGGCAUAGCUGGGUAGCUAUGUGUGGACGGGAUAAGUGCUGAAAGCAUCUAAGCAUGAAGCCCCCCUCAAGAUGAGAUUUCCCAACUUCGGUUAUAAGAUCCCUCAAAGAUGAUGAGGUUAAUAGGUUCGAGGUGGAAGCAUGGUGACAUGUGGAGCUGACGAAUACUAAUCGAUCGAAGACUUAAUCAA
This 1282-nucleotide ribosomal RNA is filed under the name Staphylococcus aureus. Its description in RNAcentral is "partial 23S ribosomal RNA". It matches the Rfam family "Bacterial large subunit ribosomal RNA", at positions 1641 to 2925 of the family's 2925-position model. The record is from RNAcentral. Lineage: Bacteria; Bacillati; Bacillota; Bacilli; Caryophanales; Staphylococcaceae.